UCAAGCUACAAAGAGCACAAGGGGAAUGCCUUGGCACCGAGAGCCGAAGAAGGACGUGACUAACUGCGAUAAGCUGCGGGGAGCCGUAAGUAGGCUUUGAUCCGCAGAUUUCCGAAUGGAGCAAUCCGGCAAGAGGAAAGUCUUGUCAUCAUAUACUGAAUACAUAGGUAUAUGAGGGGAACCGCCUGAACUGAAACAUCUAAGUAGGGCGAGGAAGAGAAAUCAACUGAGAUUCCGUAAGUAGUGGCGAGCGAACGCGGAAGAGGCCAAACCGAGAGUAGUAAUACUUUCGGGGUUCGGACAGAAUACGGCAUUGUAAAGGUUUAGUGGAAUGGAAUGGGAAGUCCAACCGAAGAAGGUGAGAGUCCUGUACACGAAAAGCCUGAACAGCCAUCUGUAUCCAGAGUACCGCCGGACACGUGAAACCCGGUGGGAAUACGGGGGGACCAUCCUCCAAGCCUAAAUACUACUCGGUGACCGAUAGUGAAGAAGUACUGUGAAGGAAAGGUGAAAAGUACCCCUGACGGGGAGUGAAAAAGAACCUGAAACCUUGUGUUUACAAGCACCGAAAGCUCAUCAAAGAGCGAUCGGGUACCUUUUGUAGAAUGGUCCGGCGAGUGAAUGUAACCGGCGAGGUUAAGCACUUAAGGUGUGAAGCCGCAGCGAGAGCAAGUCUGAAUAGGGCGUAUGAAGUCGGUUGUAUUCGACCCGAAACCGGGUGACCUACCCAUGGUCAGGUUGAAGUAAAGGUAAAACUUUAUGGAGGACCGAACCGACUCCCGUUGAAAUGGUAGCGGAUGAACUGUGGGUAGCGGAGAAAUUCCAAUCGAACCCGGAGAUAGCUGGUUCUCUCCGAAAUAGCUUUAGGGCUAGCCUUGAAAUAGAUUACCGGAGGUAAAGCACUGAAUUGGCUAGGGGCCGAGAGGUUACUGAACCUUAUCAAACUAAGAAUGCCGGAUAAUCGUUUUUCAGGAGUCAGACAGUGGGAGAUAAGUUUCAUUGUCAAAAGGGAAACAGCCCAGACCCACAGCUAAGGUCCCCAAGUAUAGUUAAGUGGAAAAGGAUGUGGAAUUGCACAGACAACCAGGAUGUUGGCUUAGAAGCAGCCACUCAUUAAAAGAGUGCGUAAUAGCUCACUGGUCGAGUGACUCUGCGCCGAAAAUUUAACGGGGCUAAACUAUACACCGAAGCUUGGGAUACAUCUAAUGUAUGGUAGGAGAGCGUUCUGUAUGGGGAGAAGUCGUAGCGAAAGCGGCGGUGGACUAUACAGAAGUGAGAAUGCCGGAAUAAGUAGCGAGAAUUAAGUGAGAAUCUUAAUGGCCGAAAGUCUAAGGUUUUUGGAGGAAGGUUCGUCCGCUCCAAGUAAGUCGGGAGCUAAGGUCAGGCCGAAAGGCGUAGCCGAUGCACAUACGGUUGAUAUUCCGUAACCAUCUGUAAUUUAAGCAAAGGGACACUUCAAAAGGGUGUGACCCGGGCGUUGGUUGACCCGGGCGUAAGGGACCGAAAUUAGAGUAGGGAAGCACACUUAGCUGAAGGCGAGAAAAGCUUUGCGUAUAGAAGCAGAUGCCCGUACCGCAAACCGACACAGGUGGACAGGAAGAGAAUUCUAAGGCCAGCGGGAGAAGGGUAGUUAAGGAACUCGGCAAAUUGACUCCGUAACUUCGGAAUAAGGAGUGCUCGAAAGAGCCGCAGAGAAUAGGCCCAGGCGACUGUUUAGCAAAAACACAGGUCUCUGCCAAAUCGAAAGAUGAAGUAUAGGGGCUGACACCUGCCCGGUGCCGGAAGGUUAAGAGGAGGAGUGAGAGCUCCGAAUUGAAGCCCCGGUAAACGGCGGCCGUAACUAUAACGGUCCUAAGGUAGCGAAAUUCCUUGUCGGGUAAGUUCCG
This 1886-nucleotide ribosomal RNA is filed under the name human gut metagenome. RNAcentral's name for it is "bacterial LSU rRNA". It matches the Rfam family "Bacterial large subunit ribosomal RNA", at positions 3 to 1985 of the family's 2925-position model. The record is from RNAcentral.